Molecule: ribosomal RNA, 492 nt
Filed under: uncultured bacterium
Lineage: Bacteria
Description: partial 16S ribosomal RNA
Rfam family: Bacterial small subunit ribosomal RNA
Source: RNAcentral
AGCGAACGCUGGCGGCAGGCCUAACACAUGCAAGUCGAACGGCAGCACAGUAAGUGCUUGCUCUUACGGGUGGCGAGUGGCGGACGGGUGCGGUAUACACCGGAAUCUACUUUUUCGUGGGGGAUAACGUAGGGAAACUUACGCUAAUACCGCAUAUGUCCCACGGGGGAAAGCAGGGGAUCUUUGGACCUUGUGGGGUGGAAUGAGCCGAUGUCGGGUUAGCUAGUUGGCGGGGUAAAGGCCCACCACAGCGACGAUCGGUAGCUGGUCCGAGAGGAUGGUCAGCCACACUGGAACUGAGACACGGUCCAGACUCCUACGGGAAGCAGCAGUGGGGAAUAUUGGGCAAUGGGGGCGAGCCUGAUCCAGCCAUACCGCGUGGGUGAAGAAGGCCUUCGGGUUGUAAAGCCCUUUUGUUGGGAAAGAAAAGCAGCAGUUUAAUACCCCGCGGUUCUGACGGUACCCAAAGAAGAAGCACCGGCUAACUUCGUG